Pundamilia nyererei is the source of this 917-nucleotide long non-coding RNA. RefSeq lists it as uncharacterized. The record is from RefSeq and is a predicted model, not a curated record. NCBI's taxonomy places the organism in Eukaryota, Metazoa, Chordata, Actinopteri, Cichliformes, Cichlidae. The transcript has 2 exons.
ACACCUGCAGCCAAUUUGCAGUCACCUGUUAACCUAAUGAGCUUGUCCUUGAGCUGUGUGAGGAAGCUAGAGUGCCUGGAGAAAGUUCACUGUGUUGACCAGAGUCUCUCUGGAGACAAGUGUCGUUUAGUCCAGUUAUAUUUGGGGGAAGGAGACAUUUCUGCAGCUGAGAGACUUCCACUAACUGCCUGAGCAUGUUGAAGCUCCUGCAUAUCACUGGUUUGUGGCUUCACUUCCUCCUUCCCUCUGUGCUCUGUGACAACUUGCUUUGCUUCUACAGCCCCAUGCUGGAGAAAGACAAGACACCCGAAUUUGUUGUGACAGAGUGCCCUCCCAGUAAGGUGUGCUUUAUGGCAGAUGGCCGCUACGGUAACCACAGCGUCCUGUCAGCCAGGGGUUGCAUGGCAAAAAAAGACUGCAGCCAGAAGCAAAAAGUCCACUUCAAGGGGACAACCUACACCGUGAGCUACAGCUGCUGUGAUCAGCCGCACUGUAACUCGUGCCUGAACAUCGCACUGGAACCCCUCUGUCUCACUUUAGCACUUGUAACAGUGUGGGUGAUGGUCGGUGAUGGUUUGUGAAUACAGACAUUUUGAUGAACAUGCUCAGAGGACUUGCUGCAGCCUGAGCCUGGAGUAAGGCUGAAGGUCUGCAGUGAUGUGGUGAACACCCAGUCUGAAGACACUGAGGUGUGCACUCCGGUGAAAGAGAGACUUUUAUCAUAAAUGUCUUAUUAAAUUUGGCUACAUAUCCAAGACGUACACCACCUCUUGUCCAUCAUCAUCAGCCAGGUUCCAGCCCACUACAACGGUUGGAUCAAUGGCUUAUUUUCUUUAAACAGGUGCUUUGUUUUUAAUAGGUCUCUGAAUAAAUAAAUAGUUGAAUAAAUUAUCAAAUUUGAUGCCUUUUGAAUGUUU